UUGGCAUGGAUUACAAAGCUUUGGGCACAG
RNAcentral lists this non-coding RNA (30 nucleotides) under Mus musculus (house mouse). Lineage: Eukaryota; Metazoa; Chordata; Mammalia; Rodentia; Muridae. The record is from RNAcentral.